GACGAACGCUGGCGGCGUGCCUAAUACAUGCAAGUCGAGCGAAGUUUUUCUGGUGCUUGCACUAGAAAAACUUAGCGGCGAACGGGUGAGUAACACGUAAAGAACCUGCCUCAUAGACUGGGACAACUAUUGGAAACGAUAGCUAAUACCGGAUAACAGUAUUUCUCGCAUGAGAGAUAUUUAAAAGUUGGUUAUGCUAACACUAUGAGAUGGCUUUGCGGUGCAUUAGCUAGUUGGUGGGGUAAAGGCCCACCAAGGCGACGAUGCAUAGCCGACCUGAGAGGGUGAUCGGCCACACUGGGACUGAGACACGGCCCAGACUCCUACGGGAGGCAGCAGUAGGGAAUCUUCCGCAAUGGGCGAAAGCCUGACGGAGCAACGCCGCGUGAGUGAAGAAGGAUUUCGGUUCGUAAAGCUCUGUUGUUAGGGAAGAAUGGAUAUGUAGUAACUAUACAUAUAAGAGACGGUACCUAACCAGAAAGCCACGGCUAACUACGUGCCAGCAGCCGCGGUAAUACGUAGGUGGCAAGCGUUGCCCGGAAUUAUUGGGCGUAAAGCGCGCGCAGGUGGUUUAAUAAGUCUGAUGUGAAAGCCCACGGCUCAACCGUGGAGGGUCAUUGGAAACUGUUAAACUUGAGUGCAGGAGAGAAAAGUGGAAUUCCUAGUGUAGCGGUGAAAUGCGUAGAGAUUAGGAGGAACACCAGUGGCGAAGGCGGCUUUUUGGCCUGUAACUGACACUGAGGCGCGAAAGCGUGUGGAGCAAACAGG
RNAcentral lists this ribosomal RNA (768 nucleotides) under uncultured bacterium. RNAcentral describes it as "bacterial SSU rRNA". It matches the Rfam family "Bacterial small subunit ribosomal RNA", at positions 28 to 776 of the family's 1533-position model. The record is from RNAcentral.